AUUGAACGCUGGCGGCAGGCCUAACACAUGCAAGUCGAGCGAGCGGCGGACGGGUGAGUAAUGUCUGGGAAACUGCCUGAUGGAGGGGGAUAACUACUGGAAACGGUAGCUAAUACCGCAUACCAUCAGAUGUGCCCAGAUGGGAUUAGCUAGUUGGUGGGGUAAUGGCUCACCUAGGCGACGAUCCCUAGAGGGUCUGAGAGGAUGAGCAGCCACACUGGAACUGAGACACGGUCCAGACUCCUACGGGAGGCAGCAGUGGGGAAUAUUGGACAAUGGGCGCAAGCCUGAUGCAGCCAUGCCGCGUGUGUGAAGAAGGCCUUCGGUUUGUAAAGCGCUUUCAGCGGGGAGGCGUUACCCGCAGAAGAAGCACCGGCUAACGCCGAGCCAGCAGCCGCGGUAAUUC
This 406-nucleotide ribosomal RNA is filed under the name uncultured bacterium. RNAcentral describes it as "partial 16S ribosomal RNA". It matches the Rfam family "Bacterial small subunit ribosomal RNA", at positions 30 to 526 of the family's 1533-position model. The record is from RNAcentral.